ACCGUUUCAGAUGUGGGGUAAACCUUGUUUGUUUUUAGUAACCUGAUACAUUCAGUGGCGAGUUCCAUACCAACACGAUUUUUGGAGGGUGGGGGUUUCAAACCAAUAAUUUACUGGAUGACACUUUUCCUGCUCCUGAGAGAUCCUAAAAGAUGGAGAUUUUUCUCGCAUUUGGCCUAGGACUAUACACCGACAACCCAACCCGUUUAAACUUACGUCCGAUAUACCUUAUACACACAGGCCGUAAAGGUCAUAUACGAAACCUGAAAGGCACUAGGUCCAUAUCACCUUAAUUAUACUACUCAGAGGCAGUUUGGGACUACCGAUUCUCUAAUCGAUCCAUCAUGUAUAGUAAUAAUAUAGAAACAGGUUGCCCUUUAACCUUUUUUGAGUAGUAUAGUUAAGUAUAUUUAGUGAUGUAAUACGAUCGCAGUUACAUUUGCUCUCAAUGUCUUAUUCGUGAAGUGUUAUUAGCAGAGACAGGCUAAGGUUCAUCCUACCUAGGUGGCUACUGUGAACACGUAUAGUCAUACCUAAUACCUACAUACUUGGAUGUAUGCAUGGUAUUUGAUACUGCUGUGUAAACAGGGUGUACGAAAUAUGAAGAAGUAUCACCGUACACGUGACAUGGCCGCGAUACAGGUCACGUUAAAAUAUUCCAGUUACAAGGAUAUCUUCGUUACAGGAGCCCUGACACACCUCGUGGCAUCACAGGUUACGAUAGAGAACAAUGAGUACACUAUCGUGUGUAUGUCUGCUGGCUUGCGUGGCAUUGACUCUGACUUACCAGCCGUAAGUAACCGCUCUUCCACUUAGUCGACAUGGAAGGGAACUGGCUAUUUGAUUGAUGGCAAGUGUAUAUAGAGGGAGGGUUAUUCUGUGCCUUAACAGGUGCUUUGACUGUUCUCUGUGAUGAAAAGAAUGAGGUCAAUUAACUUAGAAUCAUGUUUUACAAAAUCGGACUUAUUCGUUGCAAAAGAUAUUUUAUUUCUGAUAUCAAUCUGAUUCCUAACGAAUUUGAUAUUUGUUUUAAAUCAUGUGCAUUUCAUAGUGUACAUAUGACAAUGCCUAAUGAAUAUACUAUUUGUUUUCUUCACGUUCUUCAACGCACUUGUUUGAAGAAGUCAACGUUAUGAGUUGUAGUUUGUACAAUGUAUUUUGUACAUUCACACUGAAUACGGAUAAAGGCAAUGUAAAAGUCGCUUCAAAAUAGAUUUAAAGCAGUUAAAAUAGUCCAUGACAGCAGUACACAAACAUUUUAGAUAAGUUACACAUUUUAACACUGAAUACAAAAGCGAUAAUUGAUUCCAGUAAUGAAACGUUAUCUUUCAGAGGUGCUAACUAUCAAUGUUGCAUGUGCGGCCCUAAUGUCACUGUUACCAUGGAGGUGCAGAACAGCCUCAAGCCACCGAUGUUCCAGUCUUCUGUCAAACUUGGGAUGCCUCAGAGAGAACUAAUCCACUUUCUUCAAGCGGCCGUCGCCAUCGACCCGCAUUUCCAUUUUACAGCUGAGUAUUAUGCAAAACCAAACGCAACCGGAUAUGACGUGUUGAGCAUGAACAAGGUGGCUGGGAGUGCCACAGACAGGACAUACUGGGAGAUCUUGGACAACGGAGUGGCUACAGCAGGUGUCAGUGAGUACGUACCGAAAGACGGCUCUGUGAUCUCCUUCAAUUUUACCUCAUACUAGACCUGUUGAUUUCACCAAGCUGAAGACAAUACCUGAUUUCCAUAAUUCACAAAAUAAAAGUCUCUCAUUAUCCAUGUACAGCGGACUAAAGCGAGAUUCUUCCAGAUAUUGUCAUAUUUCUAUUCAGUUAUGCACUACGGAUCAUGUCAAGGCCUGAGGGAGAAUUCACUUUAAUGCUUGUCAAGAGUAAUGUUGUGGAAUUAUUUAAACUAUGAACUAAUACAUUGUUAGACAUAUUUUAGUGUGUUGUGUUUCUGUACAUGAAAUAAAUGUUUGUGAGAAACAAAACGAAAAUUA
Haliotis rubra (blacklip abalone) is the source of this 1987-nucleotide RNA transcript. RefSeq lists it as uncharacterized. The record is from RefSeq and is a predicted model, not a curated record. NCBI's taxonomy places the organism in Eukaryota, Metazoa, Mollusca, Gastropoda, Lepetellida, Haliotidae. The transcript is spliced from 4 exons.